CUAGCCCUAAACGAUGAUCGCUUGGUGUAUUGGGUACCCAAUCCCAAUGUGCCGGAGCUAACGCGUUAAGCGAUCCGCCUGGGGAGUACGGUCGCAAGACUGAAACUCAAAGGAAUUGACGGGGGCCCGCACAAGCGGUGGAGCAUGUGGUUCAAUUCGACGCAACGCCCCUAACCAUAACGGGGCUGGAAAUGUAGUGGACCCCCCUGGAUCCUUCCGUUUGACAACGGGGAGUCC
Molecule: ribosomal RNA, 237 nt
Filed under: uncultured bacterium
Lineage: Bacteria
Description: partial 16S ribosomal RNA
Rfam family: Bacterial small subunit ribosomal RNA
Source: RNAcentral